This 1611-nucleotide long non-coding RNA is filed under the name Sorghum bicolor (sorghum). RNAcentral's name for it is "long non-coding RNA (SBIC_LNC009892)". Lineage: Eukaryota; Viridiplantae; Streptophyta; Magnoliopsida; Poales; Poaceae. The record is from RNAcentral.
GACGGAAGGACCAGUUGAUUAUUAGCAAUACAAAGAAAGAUAGUCUAAUAAACAGGGGAGUAGUUACAGGCUCAUCUCAGCUCUCACCUAACUUGUCGCUAAUUCGCUAUAAGUGUAACGGCCACCAUUUUAGCUCAUAGCUAAUCAUAGCUAAGUGCACGGUAAUAUAAAACUAAUUACAACAAGCUGGAUAAUUUAGUACACUUUGAUAUUAAAAUACAUGAAUCAAUUAUCAAACUUUGAUGGUGUUUUAGGUACACUUGUAUACCAAGUUCACUCCACAAAAAGAAUUCAGACCACCAUUCUUUUACAUAUAUAAGUACAAUAGUGCACAUAACACUGGCUAUAGUCACCUAGUUAGUACAAUAUAUGAGGUGAGGAACGCGGAGGGCACAUACUCUCACCUUUCCACCCGUUGGACAGUUUCGAUGGGCGGGAGGGUGAGAUCAUGUGCCCUCAAGGGCACAAAAAACGUUACCAUGAGGUGUAGUCAUGCCCUUCUAGAAUGGAGUAAUCCAAUCAGUAGCAGCAGCUCAAUGGCACACAAUGAGGUUCCUUGACUAGGCCAUGAUUGGGAUUAAAUAUCAUAGGAGAGAUGGAGGAAGGUUGUAGAAAAAGGGCUCAGUAAAGGUGAAAGGAGCCUUGCCUCCAUCGAAGAGUAAUCAUCCAAUUCUUGGCUCUCCACUCACGACCGAGGCCUCCAGAAAAAACAUAUCACCUACUCCUUGCUUUAGAAAUCACCAACAACACACACCAGCACAAUAUGGUGAUAUGAUCACCAUGGAGAGCGACAUGGGGUGAGAAGGGGAGGGGCUGACCAAGAGAGGAAGUAAGCAGAGAGCCCAACUGCUUGGAAGCAAAUCCAGAAGCACAUUUGAAUCAAUUAAGACGUGCAGGAGAGGAGUGAGUGUCUGAGAAAAAUAAGCCUAAGAUUGGAGCUAAACAUCAUCAAUAUUAAAGUGGGGUUCACAAGCACAUCUUAGAACAUUUCUUUUCCCUCUACCAACAACAAAAAGCACCUUCCAUGGAGAGCAGCGCAACAAUUAGGUGCUCAAUAAUAUAUUGGGCCAAGAGAGAUGUGCCAACUGUUAGAAGAAGAACUAGCAUCCCUUCUUUAGUUCUACUCAUAAAAUACUUAAACUUUGGCUAAAAGCCUAAAACUCUAACACAAGGAUCAAUCUGCACAUCUAGAGCACUCAGGUAUGUAGCUUUGAGUACAGAGUUGCAGACUAGAUAGGCUUAUGAAGAACCAAAAAAAGAGCACUUACUACUAGGUUAGGGAAGUCGCUGUCCGAGUUCGAACCCCAACACAACACCACACAAGUACACAGCAGCAUGCAUGGGCUCCUUGGCUCUGUCCCUGACCUGCAAGCAUAUGAGAGGAAGAAAUCGAAGGGGAAAUCAGUAUAUAGCAACCAUAAUCCAUACAGAUUAUUCUGGAGUCAAAAUCUUUUAAAAGCCCCAACCAUGAUUGUUGAUCUGGUGUUGAUAACUUGAACAACAUGGAAGAAGAGGAAAGAAAGCACGCAGAGAGAGAGAGAGAGAGAGUAUUAUGGGGCCUGUUUGGGUGGAAAACUCCAAGCAGUUGCCUGCCAGCCAAGCCAUCCUGGC